Molecule: ribosomal RNA, 328 nt
Filed under: Lejeunea cavifolia
Lineage: Eukaryota; Viridiplantae; Streptophyta; Jungermanniopsida; Porellales; Lejeuneaceae
Description: eukaryotic LSU rRNA
Rfam family: Eukaryotic large subunit ribosomal RNA
Source: RNAcentral
UCACUAAGCGGAGGAAAAGAAACUAACAAGGAUUUCCUUAGUAACGGCGAGCGAACCGGAAGUAGCCCAGCUUGAAAAUCUCGCGGUCCCGCCGCGCGAAUUGUAGUCUGGAGAAGCGUCCUCUGCAGCGGACCGGGCCCAAGUUCCCUGGAACGGGACGUCGGAGAGGGUGAGAGCCCCGUCGAGCUCGGACCCUGCUGCUCCACGAGGCGCUGUCGACGAGUCGGGCUGUUUGGGAAUGCAGCCCUAAGCGGGUGGUAAAUUCCAUCCAAGGCUAAAUAUGGGCAAGAGACCGAUAGCGAACAAGUACCGCGAGGGAAAGAUGAAA